AUGGCGGUCGCGAAGUCCAGUUCAGAAAAGAUCGCGAUGGUUUUUGCAGUUUUGUAUGCAAAAUAUGAUGUGUCAUGGGGUAACCUAUCCACGAGUGGAUACAUAAGGUAGUAUCUUGGCUAUGUACACCUUUACCGCUUGUUUGCAUGCUUGUGUAGAUUAGAUUAAUUGUAAAUACGGAUCUAGCAUUGUUACUUGCAUUCGACUGCACCAACGGGCACUGUUGCAAAGUGUUGGGUGCGGCCGAGGCAAAACAUGGUGUCAGUCCUCCUUCCAUCGGGAAAUAAGAGAGCAGGGUUUGUUAACACCGUGAAACACUACAUGUGAACCGGCAGAAUUCUUUUAUCGCCCAUUCAUCGUAAGUGGAUCCAGUGAUAAGUGUGGUUGGUUUGACCGUUUCCAGGCACGAAAGACAUCGAAACUGCAAUUCGGGAGAUCUGCCAGCCCAACAUGCAGGUCUCAAGUUAGUUGUAUGGUUUAAAUGGAACCACAGAGCAAAGGAAGCUGCAGUGUUACUGAUGUGAAGACACACAGUGGAACUCAAAACUGUCCAUACCAGUAAGUGACAGCACACCCGAGCCCAUGUCUCAGCGUCAAGAGUGAUUUUGCUGGACUUUUAAAGUUCACACUAUGCACAGCACUGUGAGCUCUGCCUUGGAAGUUCCGAGUAAAGGUUGUAUCACGAGCUUUCUGCAUGCCUGAACUGGAUGGGGGUGGAAUAUCUGCACUCAUGCAGAGGACACGGAAACUCUCACUCCCCAUGGGACAUUUCGACAGGCCUAUCUGGAGUCCAGUGUUCGCAGUGGAGGAGCGACGUCCCUUCUUCGCCGGAGCUACCUCUACCUCCUUGUAGAGCUUAUGAUGCUUAGACAGUGAACAAUCAUCCUCCUGAGGGGUGUUUCUCAUCCUCGGCCUUAACAGGCGGUAUGGCAGACUGCUCAGAAUGAAAGGACUGGUGGCAUGUGGAAAGGGUCAAGUAUGUGUGUUACCAGUCCUUGACGGAUUUCCAGUUCCCUGUUCUACCUGCUGAAAUAGUUCCAUGGCUGAGAAGUUGCCCUGCCACGCCCUGCCACGCCCUGCGCCACGCCACACCACGCCACGCUGGUGUGCAGAUGCUAGUUUGGUCAAUAACCCAGUCCCCCACUAGGCACACAUUUAUAACUCGCUUAGUUUCUUUGGAGAUAGGAGCUGGUAAAUCUUCAGUAGCCUGUUGUGAGUACCCUUAAACAGGGAACUUAGGUAAUAUCAGUUUCUUAGGAUUAGGGAGCCAUGUUGAGGGUGGGACCCCCCUUUCAGGUACUUAGGAUUAGGGAGCCAUGUUGAGGGGGUUUUACAUGACACGUGAUUCCUGCCUAUUUGACACAACAAUUUUCCAAAAGUCUUUCAAAAUAUUGUAUCUGAGUCAAGCUUGGACGCAGUUCUUAUGUGUGACCCUUAGAAUGCAGUUCAAUAAAAUCAACUCGAUAAACAAACAAUGAUAGAUUUCAGUGAUAGUUUGACAGAGCUGUCAGAUUGUUCCAGAGAACUCAGAGGAGACAUUUAUCCUGGCUGUUUGACAUUUGGUGGUGUGUCAUACACAGUUACAUGCUGAGAAUGAUUAACUCAAAUACCAUGCCAAUGAAGUGAUCUGGUCACAAAGUUCAGUAAAUAAUCUUACGUUUUUGACAUGCUAUAGGUCUUCAUGAAAUAAUUUCUUUUCAAUUUGCGUUACAAUGAAUAAAUCACAUUAUUUGUUCAGGA
RNAcentral lists this long non-coding RNA (1740 nucleotides) under Haliotis rubra (blacklip abalone). RNAcentral's name for it is "uncharacterized LOC124266194, transcript variant X3". Lineage: Eukaryota; Metazoa; Mollusca; Gastropoda; Lepetellida; Haliotidae. The record is from RNAcentral.